CCUACGGGUGGCAGCAGUGAGGAAUAUUGGUCAAUGGACGAGAGUCUGAACCAGCCAAGUAGCGUGAAGGAUGACUGCCCUAUGGGUUGUAAACUUCUUUUAUAAAGGAAUAAAACGAGGCACGCGUGCCUUUUUGCAUGUAUUUUAUGAAUAAGGAUCGGCUAACUCCGUGCCAGCAGCCGCGGUAAUACGGAGGAUCCGAGCGUUAUCCGGAUUUAUUGGGUUUAAAGGGAGCGUAGAUGGGUUGUUAAGUCAGUUGUGAAAGUUUGCGGCUCAACCGUAAAAUUGCAAUUGAUACUGGCAGUCUUGAGUGCAGUUGAGGUAGGCGGAAUUCGUGGUGUAGCGGUGAAAUGCUUAGAUAUCACAAAGAACCCCGAUUGCGAAGGCAGCUUACUAAGCUGUGACUGACAUUGAUGCUCGAAAGUGUGGGGAUCAAACAGGAUUAGAUACCCCAGUAGUC
This 460-nucleotide ribosomal RNA is filed under the name uncultured bacterium. RNAcentral describes it as "partial 16S ribosomal RNA". It matches the Rfam family "Bacterial small subunit ribosomal RNA", at positions 338 to 795 of the family's 1533-position model. The record is from RNAcentral.